Molecule: ribosomal RNA, 1401 nt
Filed under: uncultured Anaerolineaceae bacterium
Lineage: Bacteria; Bacillati; Chloroflexota; Anaerolineae; Anaerolineales; Anaerolineaceae
Description: bacterial SSU rRNA
Rfam family: Bacterial small subunit ribosomal RNA
Source: RNAcentral
CAUGGCUCAGGAUGAACGUUGGCGGCGUGCCUAACACAUGCAAGUCGAACGGGAAGCCGGCUUCGGUCGGUGGAGAGUGGCGAACGGGUGAGUAACGCGUAACUGAUCUGCCCCAAUGACCGGGAUAACGAUUGGAAACAGUCGCUAAUACGGGAUAAUCUCUUGGUGGUUAGAGAGCCAAGAGGAAAGGCGGCCCUACGGGGUUGCGCGUUGGGAUGAGGAUGCGGUCCAUCAGCUGGUUGGUGAGGUAAAGGCUCACCAAGGCGAAGACGGAUAGGGGACCUGAGAGGGUGGCCCCCCACACUGGGACUGAGACACGGCCCAGACUCCUGCGGGAGGCAGCAGUGAGGGAUAUUGCACAAUGGGCGGAAGCCUGAUGCAGCGACGCCGCGUGGGUGAAGAAGGUUUUCGGAUCGUAAAGCCCUUUUCUAUGUGACGAGGGAGGACGGUAGCAUAGGAAUAAGUGUCGGCUAACUACGUGCCAGCAGCCGCGGUAAAACGUAGGACACGAACGUUAUCCGGAGUUACUGGGCGUAAAGCGCGCGCAGGCGGUUGUGUAAGUCUUCUAUGAAAGGCGCUGGCUAAACUGGCGGAGGGUAGGAGAAACUGUACAACUAGAGAGAAAUAGAGGGAAGUAGAAUUCCGGGUGUAGUGGUGAAAUGCGUAGAUAUCCGGAGGAAUAUCAGAGGCGAAGGCGGCUUCCUGGAUUUUCACUGACGCUGAGGCGCGAAAGCGUGGGUAGCGAACGGGAUUAGAAACCCCGUUAGUCCACGCCGUAAACGAUGUACAUUAGGCGUUCGUAUGACUGCGGUUGUAUGAGUGUCGAAGCAAACGCGAUAAAUGUACCGCCUGGGGAGUACGGUCGCAAGGCUAAAACUCAAAGGAAUUGACGGGGGCCCGCACAAGCAGCGGAGCGUGUGGUUUAAUUCGAGGCAACGCGAAGAACCUUACCUGGGUUUGACAGUGUGGUAGUACGGAAGCGAAAGCGGAAGGACCCGCAAGGGAGCCAUGCCAGGUGCUGCAUGGUUGUCGUCAGCUCGUGCCGUGAGGUGUUCGGUUAAGUCCGCAAACGAGCGCAACCCUCGGGGCUAGUUACAAGUGUCUAGCCUGACUGCCCGUGGCAAACGGGAGGAAGGUGGGGAUGACGUCAAAUCAGCAUGGCCUUGAUAUCCAGGGCGACACACACGCUACAAUGGUCGAUACAGUGGGUGGCGAAGGAGCGAUCUGGAGCGAAUCCUACAAAGUCGGUCUCAGUUCGGAUUGCAGGCUGCAACUCGCCUGCAUGAAGUCGGAGUUGCUAGUAACCGCAAAUCAGCACGUUGCGGUGAAUACGUUCCCGGGCCUUGUACACACCGUCCGUCACGUCAUGGGAGUCGGUCGAGCCCGAAGUCGGGAAGCUAA